Molecule: long non-coding RNA, 594 nt
Filed under: Helianthus annuus (common sunflower)
Lineage: Eukaryota; Viridiplantae; Streptophyta; Magnoliopsida; Asterales; Asteraceae
Description: hypothetical non coding rna
Source: RNAcentral
GCGCGUAUGGCGAGUGGCGACCUACAUGCUCAUAUGUGGAGCAUCAGGAUCGCGUGGAGGCUGAGGUACUCGUAUGUAGAGCAGCAGGCUCGUAUGGAGAUUAGGGUGCUCGCGUAUAAAAGAGCAUGCGCGUAUGGCGGCUUACGUGCUCGUAAGUAAAGGAGCAAGCGCGUGGAUGGCGACUUACGUGCUUGUAUGUAAAGGAGCAUGCGCGGAUGGCGACUUACGCGCUUGUAUGUAAAGGAGCAUGCGCGCGUGGCGACUUACGUGCUCGUAUGUAAAGUAGUAUGUGCGCGAGGCGACUUACGUGCUUGUAUGUAAAGGAGCAUGCGCGGAUCGCGACUUACGUGCUUGUAUGUAAAGAAGCAUGCGCGGAUGGCGACUUACGUGCUUGUAUGUAAAGGAGCAUGCGCGCGUGGCGACUUACGUGCUCUUAUGUAAAGUAGUAUGCGCGUGAGGCGACUUACGUGCUCGCUUGUAAAGGAGCAUGCGCGCGUGGCGACUUACGUGCUCGUAUGUGGAGCAGCGGGCUCGCAUGGAGGCUGAGAUGCUCGUAUGUAGAGCAGCAGACUAGUAUGGAGACCGGCGUGCUCG